GAUGAACGCUGGCGGCGUGCUUAACACAUGCAAGUCGAACGAGAAGUGGAGACGGAAACCUUCGGGCGGAAGACUUUACUUCGAGUGGCGGACGGGUGAGUAACGCGUGGGUAACCUGCCUCAUACAGGGGGAUAACAGUUGGAAACGACUGUUAAUACCGCAUAAGACCACAGCACCGCAUGGUGCGGGGGUAAAAACUCCGGUGGUAUGAGAUGGACCCGCGUUCGAUUAGCCAGUUGGCGGGGUAACGGCCCACCAAAGCGACGAUCGAUAGCCGAUCUGAGAGGAUGACCGGCCACAUUGGGACUGAGACACGGCCCAAACUCCUACGGGAGGCAGCAGUGGGGAAUAUUGCACAAUGGGGAAACCCUGAUGCAGCGACGCCGCGUGAGUGAAGAAGUAUUUCGGUAUGUAAAGCUCUAUCAGCAGGGAAGAAAAUGACAGUACCUGAGUAAGAAGCCCCGGCUAACUACGUG
This 477-nucleotide ribosomal RNA is filed under the name uncultured bacterium. Its description in RNAcentral is "partial 16S ribosomal RNA". It matches the Rfam family "Bacterial small subunit ribosomal RNA", at positions 28 to 507 of the family's 1533-position model. The record is from RNAcentral.